RNAcentral lists this ribosomal RNA (468 nucleotides) under uncultured bacterium. RNAcentral describes it as "partial 16S ribosomal RNA". It matches the Rfam family "Bacterial small subunit ribosomal RNA", at positions 28 to 507 of the family's 1533-position model. The record is from RNAcentral.
GACGAACGCUGGCGGCGUGCUUAACACAUGCAAGUCGAACGGAAAGGCCCUGCUUUUGUGGGGUGCUCGAGUGGCGAACGGGUGAGUAACACGUGAGUAACCUGCCCUUGACUUUGGGAUAACUUCAGGAAACUGGGGCUAAUACCGGAUAGGAGCUCCUGCUGCAUGGUGGGGGUUGGAAAGUUUCGGCGGUUGGGGAUGGACUCGCGGCUUAUCAGCUUGUUGGUGGGGUAGUGGCUUACCAAGGCCUUGACGGGUAGCCGGCCUGAGAGGGUGACCGGCCACAUUGGGACUGAGAUACGGCCCAGACUCCUACGGGAGGGAGCAGUGGGGAAUAUUGCACAAUGGGCGGAAGCCUGAUGCAGCAACGCCGCGUGCGGGAUGACGGCCUUCGGGUUGUAAACCGCUUUCGCCUGUGACGAAGCGUGAGUGACGGUAAUGGGUAAAGAAGCACCGGCUAACUACGUG